Molecule: ribosomal RNA, 439 nt
Filed under: uncultured bacterium
Lineage: Bacteria
Description: partial 16S ribosomal RNA
Rfam family: Bacterial small subunit ribosomal RNA
Source: RNAcentral
CUACGGGGGGCUCCAGUGGGGAAUCUUAGACAAUGGGCGCAAGCCUGAUCUAGCCAUGCCGCGUGAGUGAUGAAGGCCUUAGGGUCGUAAAGCUCUUUCGCUGGGGAAGAUAAUGACGGUACCCAGUAAAGAAACCCCGGCUAACUCCGUGCCAGCAGCCGCGGUAAUACGGAGGGGGUUAGCGUUGUUCGGAAUUACUGGGCGUAAAGCGCGCGUAGGCGGACUGUUAAGUCGGGGGUGAAAUCCCGGGGCUCAACCCCGGAACGGCCUUCGAUACUGGCAGUCUGGAGUUCGGGAGAGGUGAGUGGAAUUCCGAGUGUAGAGGUGAAAUUCGUAGAUAUUCGGAGGAACACCAGUGGCGAAGGCGGCUCACUGGCUCGAUACUGACGCUGAGGUGCGAAAGUGUGGGGAGCAAACAGGAUUAGAUACCCGCGUAGUC